AAACCAACAGGGAUUGCCCUAGUAACGGCGAGUGAAGCGGCAACAGCUCAAAUUUGAAAUCUGGCGCAAGCCCGAGUUGUAAUUUGCAGAGGAUGCUUCUGGGCAGCGGCCGGUCUAAGUUCCUUGGAACAGGACGUCAUAGAGGGUGAGAAUCCCGUAUGCGACCGGUUGGCACCCGUCACGUAGCUCCUUCGACGAGUCGAGUUGUUUGGGAAUGCAGCUCUAAAUGGGUGGUAAAUGUCAUCUAAAGCUAAAUACCGGCCAGAGACCGAUAGCGCACAAGUAGAGUGAUCGAAAGAUGAAAAGUACUUUGGAAAGAGAGUUAAAAAGCACGUGAAAUUGUUGAAAGGGAAGCGCAUGCAACCAGACUUGUCCGCGGUGUUCCGCCGGUCUUCUGACCGGUCUACUCGCCGUGGGCAGGCCAGCAUCGUCUGGGCGCGCCGGACAAAGGCGCAGGGAAUGUAGCCCCUCGGGGUGUUAUAGCUCUGCGCACAAUACGGCGCCGCCCGGGCGAGGUCCGCGCUUCGGCUAGGAUGCUGGCGUAAUGGUUGUCUGCGGC
RNAcentral lists this ribosomal RNA (559 nucleotides) under uncultured fungus. RNAcentral's name for it is "eukaryotic LSU rRNA". It matches the Rfam family "Eukaryotic large subunit ribosomal RNA", at positions 62 to 648 of the family's 3401-position model. The record is from RNAcentral. Lineage: Eukaryota; Fungi.